UCUGAUUCUGAGCCCCCCACCCCCACCCCUACCCACUGCCUUUGAAGGGAGCUUAGGGAGGAGGGGCACACAGCUCUUGUAACACUACAGAGAAUGCUAGAUUUUAACCAUCAGAACUUUCUGUAAGAUGAAAAUUCCACAAAUGACUGCAAGCAGGUUUAUACUGAGACCACCUAUCAGAGGCGGCACAACCUACUGUGGUAUAGACCCAUGUCUACAUCAAUAUCAAUCAAGAAAAAUGCAUCAUGAACCAGGCAUGGUGGCACAUGCUUUUAACCCCAGCUAUUGGGAGGCACAGGCAUGUGGAUCCCAUGAGUUCCAUGCAGGAAAAGCUCACAUGAUUCUUAAACCGUUGUCACCAUCCUCAUUCUGGAAGGAUACCCCGGGCAAGCUUUUCGUGUUUCUCAAAGAGUCGUUCCUGGUGCAAGAGAACCCUCAGGGCAUUUGUUCAAAACUCAGGUUUUGGCACAGUUCUAAGAAGAUGCGAGCCUAAUGAACUACCCAAAUAAUUCUGAACAGCAGCCAAGAUAGGGAGCAUCCGUCAGGGUGAGAACUGCUCAGCCCCCAUCUUCCUCUUUCUACCAGACAGACUAGGCUUCCCUGUGUAUGAUCUACUGCUGGAGAAAUGCUUUCUUUGUCUUUCUCUUUCUCUCUUUUUUUUCUUUCUUUCCUUCUUCUUCCCUCCCACACCCCUGGUUUUCAAGACAUGGUUUCUCUAUGUAACCUUGGCUGCCCUGGAACUCACUCUGUAGACCCAGCGGGUCUCCAACUGUCAGCCCUGCCUCUACUUCCCGAGAGCUGGGAUUAAAGUCAUAUGCCACCACAUUUGGCAAAGUUACAUCUUUCUAAAGGUAUCAUGUAUUGUUUGUCAGGCAUUUACUGUUCAAUAUAUUCAUUUUAGAAUUUUAAUAUGUAAUACUCCCUGUACAAAACUCAAGAUAUACAUACAAUAACUCCCUCAUUGAGUAUGAGGGAAGUCUCUCUCACUUCUCCAACAGUUCUUGUCCCCAAGUUCUCAGUCUUUAAACAAAAGAAACCUCUGAGUGUACAGGCAAAUAAAUUACAUUUAAAAACCACUCUUUGUAUGGGAGGUAGCAUUUCACUUCAGAGCAUUUGAUUUGGCCUGUUUGGCUAGAAGGUACCUGUGAUGGGUCAAUUCAUGUUCCAAACAGUGCAAUCUUUUUUGUUUGUUUGUUUGUUUGUUUGUUUGUUUUUGUUUU
Molecule: long non-coding RNA, 1220 nt
Organism: Mus musculus (house mouse)
Lineage: Eukaryota; Metazoa; Chordata; Mammalia; Rodentia; Muridae
Product: predicted gene, 41862
Exons: 3
Source: RefSeq, a predicted model, not a curated record